GAUGAACGCUGGUGGCGUGCCUAAUACAUGCAAGUCGAGCGAACGGACGAGAAGCUUUCUUCUCUGAUGUUAGCGGCGGACGGGUGAGUAACACGUGGCUAACCUACCUAUAAGACUGGGAUAACUUCGGGAAACCGGAGCUCAUACCCGAUCAUAUUUUGAACCGCAUGGUUCAAAAGUGAACGACGGUCUUGCUGUCACUUAUAGAUGGAUCCGCGCUGCAUUAGCUAGUUGGUAAGGUAACGGCUUACCAAGGCAACGAUGCAUAGCCGACCUGAGAGGGUGAACGGCCACACUGGAACUGAGACACGGUCCAGACUCCUACGGGAGGGAACAGUAGGGAAUCUUCCGCAAAGGGCGAAAGCCUGACGGAGCAACGGCGCGUGAGUGAUGAAGGUCUUCGGAUCGUAAAACCCUGUUAUUAGGGAAGAACAGAUGUGUAAGUAACUGUGCACAUCUUGACGGUACCUAAUCAGAAAGCCACGGCUAACUACGUG
This 497-nucleotide ribosomal RNA is filed under the name uncultured bacterium. RNAcentral describes it as "partial 16S ribosomal RNA". It matches the Rfam family "Bacterial small subunit ribosomal RNA", at positions 28 to 507 of the family's 1533-position model. The record is from RNAcentral.